Molecule: long non-coding RNA, 500 nt
Organism: Triticum aestivum (bread wheat)
Lineage: Eukaryota; Viridiplantae; Streptophyta; Magnoliopsida; Poales; Poaceae
Exons: 2
Source: RefSeq, a predicted model, not a curated record
CAAAAAAGCAAAAAAAAAGGUCCAAGCCUCCCAAUUAACACACCCGUCUCUAUCUCUAUCCCCAAAUCUCGCCUUUCUCGAUCCUCUUUUCCUGCCAACGCCAUCAACGACGAUCCAUCUCCGCCGCCGCGCUGGUUCUCCUCCGCCACUGCCGAGCUCCCGCUCCAUGGUCGGCUUCCGACACACCGCACCGCCAGCUCGCAAUCCUCUUCGCCCACUCUGACCUCUCUGCCAAAAUUACCCAGAUAGUGACCGCUUGUUGUAUUCCCGGUGGAGGUUAUAUUUUGGUGGUACGCAGCAGCUGAAGCCCAGUUCAUGCCUAGGAAUUUAUAGUAGGGGAGAGUGAAGGCAGUCAAAAAGAAGCUAGAAAAGAUGUUGCUUGAACUGGUUAAGGCGCACUCUGAAUUGUAAUUUUCAUUACCUUGGAAACAUAUGUAAUCAGAUGGAAAUGUAACAUUUUUAUGUUUACUCGAAACGAAUCUAUGGGUUAUUUGAUUCUA